UACGGGGGGUGCGAGCGUUGUCCGGAAUCACUGGGCGUAAAGAGCGUGUAGGCGGCUCGGUAAGUCCGCUGUGAAAGUCCAGGGCUCAACCCUGGAAUGCCGGUGGAAACUGUCGAGCUAGAGUCCGGAAGAGGCGAGUGGAAUUCCUGGUGUAGCGGUGAAAUGCGCAGAUAUCAGGAGGAACACCAAUGGCGAAGGCAGCUCGCUGGGACGGUACUGACGCUGAGACGCGAAAGCGUGGGGAGCAAACAGG
Molecule: ribosomal RNA, 253 nt
Filed under: uncultured bacterium
Lineage: Bacteria
Description: partial 16S ribosomal RNA
Rfam family: Bacterial small subunit ribosomal RNA
Source: RNAcentral